This 626-nucleotide long non-coding RNA is filed under the name Homo sapiens (human). RNAcentral's name for it is "non-protein coding lnc-FAR2-3:1". Lineage: Eukaryota; Metazoa; Chordata; Mammalia; Primates; Hominidae. The record is from RNAcentral.
CCUGCCCAACUAGAGGUUUCUUCUAGUUUUUAUAUUUUUAAGACAGUUUAUUAUUAUGUGGCCAAUGAACCAGCAGGUGGCACUACACAACAAUUUUACACAGGCAAAAAUAAGUUCCCUUAGGGCGAAAAAGAUGAUGUUUUCUCAAAUGGGACCUUUGGAAGGAUAUGGACCUGUACAACAUGCACGCCUACCGGGGAAAAAGGACUGAAAAUAGUUGUUCGAAUAGGAUGCCCUUCACCCCGGUGACUCUCCAUACGAAAACGGGGGAUGCAAAAAUGGUGGAAUGUUUUCAGAGGUGGCAAUGUGGUUGGGAGGCAGGGCAGUCUGGGGAAUUUGUUUUCUAGCUGCAUUUGGAUAGAUGACUCUCUUUUUAUCUAUAUACUGUACUGCUUGUUUUGGGAAGUUUUUGAGGGAAGUAGAGAGGGGAGGCAGAUGCAGAUGUUGGGGAGGGCUCUGCCCUAUCCUUUCAUUACUUGAAGUAUGUCUACAGCCCACCAGACUGGUGGCUACUUCCCAUACUCAGUCCAUGCUUUCCACCUCUGAGCUGCUCCCUCCAACAGGUUUAUAUGUCCCCUCAAGGGUGUACCUCCAACCUGUGUGGCAAGGUUCAGGUCGAUCACCAC